CACGUAGGCGGAUCUUUAAGUCAGAGGUGAAAUCCCAAGGCUCAACCUUGGAACUGCCUUUGAUACUGGGGAUCUCGAGUCCGGAAGAGGUGAGUGGAACUCCGAGUGUAGAGGUGAAAUUCGUAGAUAUUCGGAAGAACACCAGUGGCGAAGGCGGCUCACUGGUCCGGUACCGACGCUGAGGCUCGAAAGCGUGGGGAGCAAACA
Molecule: ribosomal RNA, 207 nt
Filed under: uncultured bacterium
Lineage: Bacteria
Description: partial 16S ribosomal RNA
Rfam family: Bacterial small subunit ribosomal RNA
Source: RNAcentral